Non-coding RNA from Taeniopygia guttata (zebra finch), 13519 nucleotides. The record is from RefSeq and is a predicted model, not a curated record. NCBI's taxonomy places the organism in Eukaryota, Metazoa, Chordata, Aves, Passeriformes, Estrildidae.
GGGCCGAGGCUGACUUGGACACUGCAAACAGUGGUCCCACUCCAGCAUGAGUGGGAGGCUCUUGGUCACAGUAAACAUUCUUCCCUCUGCACUUGGAGGCAGCUCUGAGAUCACAUCUGCAAAUCAUUCAGAUAAGUGACUUUGGUUCCACAUAAAAUAAUGUCUUACAACUGUCCAGUUCUGGAAUUUGUAUGUGCUUAGUGUGAUAAAUGUUAUAUGAUCUUAUAUAUAUACACACACACACCAGGCAAAGGAUAAUCAUUGGGUCAAUGAAAAAUGAUAGUGAGGAAUAGAUAUUGGAUAAUAGCAAACAGAACAUCUGUUGAGCAGCUCAUUUGUAGUUGUCUGCAGAAAGGAAAGGGAGGGUGAGAGUCUCCCAUGUGUUAGAGUUAACAGUAGUAUCAGCUACAAAAACCUCUACAUGCACUAAAAUCAAACAGAGCCUGAAGUCCAGAUAAUCUAAGUUUUUAGGAAAGGCACAUCUGCAAUCCUUUCACUGACAUAUUCUAGAUCACAAGAGUCAAGAGAUUCCUGGACAUUAAGAAGUAGCAGAUUUGAAUCUCGCAUUUUAAAGAGGGUAGAGGACAGGAAACUAUAAACUAGCAAAUGGAACAUUGUUUGUUUAUAAACCUGGACACUGCUUAAGUGAUCUGGCUAAAGAACACCUGGAAGGGUUCACUCUGAUUAAGGAAAGCUAGAAUGGUUUAUAACUCAUUUAGUUGUUUUAGGUCUUUAGAGCUACUACAACCAUUGAGUUCUUUAUAGGUAUAAUGACUGAAAGAUACAUUCAUUUGUACCAUAAUAAUGAGAUCAUGAGAUCAUGGUUAGUGUGAAGCAACAGCACAUACUAUGGGGUUUUGAUGUUCCAGCUGAAGUUUCUGUGAAGCUGCAGGAAAAUUUAAGUGCUAGACAGAGGCCACUGUUUUCAGUGGUAGGAAAGAGGUUGAAAACCAAAGGUUGUUAGAAAACCUUUUUUCUAUGGAUUUUUUUUUUAUUCCCUUUUUAAAAAUUCCAUUUUUGUGAACACUAGGGAGCAUUAUAUUAAUUUUUUAAAAAAUAAGUAUUUUAUUCUUCUCUAGUAUUUUUUUACAGCAACAGAAUGAAUCCUAGUAUCUUGCAGGCAGAGCAAAACUUACUUCAGUGUCAAAAUCUGCUGAGAUGGCAACAAAUCCCCUUCCAACCAGAACUGAGAAUUUGGGACAGGGAUAUAUUCACAGUGAACAUUCCUGUGCCCCAUGCAGGCCUUCUGGAAAGCCAUUUGUACAUUUGGUAUUGCUCUCAAGAGUGCAGAGUAUAACAGCUGCACUGGGAACAGGUAUUUCUUCACCUAUUCUGCUUGCUGAGGUGAGGUUUUCUUCCAAGCUUUACUAUCUCUGGCAGAGGCCAUGUUUCAGUGGGACUCUACUCUUACAGACUUUCCCCCAUCUCUCCUGAGAGUUGAUCUCCAGCUGUAUCUCAUUCAAGUUAAUAAUUAGUGCAUUAGGGAGAUGUCCCAUUCCACCAUUCUGGCAGGACAUCAGUUUUGCUUCCUCCACCAACCCCAGCCCAUUGGAAACAGUGGAGGUUGUGUCUGGGCAAAGCAGACCUGUCAGGAGAAGCUGCUGUGCUGGUGCAUCACAGGUGCACAUACAGUCAGCCCUAAAAGAUACUGUGUUCAAGGAGCAAACAGCAAAUCAGAUUAACAAAUAGGAUUUCUGGAUACUUCCCACCUUCUAGCAACCCAAUUAAACAGGGCUGGCUGCCAAUAAAGAAGGAAAACAAUUCAUUAUAAUGUAUAUUGGAUUCUACUGGAAAAAUUGCUUACUGCUCAGCAUUGUCAUAAACUUAGCAAUAGAUUUUCAUAAGGUUAUCAUUUUCUCAAACUAAGGGCCAAACUCAUCCCAAAUGUAACUUCCUUAGUGCCAAUACAGACACAUUUGGCCCCAUGAUUUUAGAAUCUCUGUAUGCUGGGACUCCUGUCCACGUCCCUGUGCCAAACUAUAAAAAGGCCAGUAUCUUGGAGUCACCUAUCAGUUCUUCCCUAACUGUUCUUCAGCAAAGACUAUUUAAAAUUAAACAACUCAAGGUCAUGUACCUCUCUGGACCAGGAGCUCUACAGCUGAGUAAUUUUUCUGUUACGGCAUGAGGCAGGUACAGCAUGUAGCUGAGAGGAGGAUGUGCAGCCCCAUACUGUAUUCCCCCAGGACUAAAGCAUGGCCAAAUCACAGGCAGAUUGUGUGACAAUUCACUUCAAAUACUUCAGAUGUGGUUACUACAGUUGUUCUAGGAGUAGAAAGAUCAAAUAGAUCUUCCUAAGACAGGAAGAUUGAUUAAGACUUAGAAAGCAGAACUGUCAUGAAGGCAGUCAAGAAUAUGGAGCACCAAAUGUUCCCAGAACUCUCCUUAUUGAUAAUUUACUAUAUUAAAUUUUAAUAGUGUAUCUUUUAGGCAUUGUAUAAAUGGAAGGAAACCUAAUUUGUGUGCCCAGAAGACUUUUACAAGUACAAUGAUGUCUCUGACAUUGCUUGCUAGUCUGAGUAUUCCCAGGCUACCCAAGGUUUCGUUCAGGUACUUGCCAUUGAAAAGUGUUGCUAACUCUUUAGGAAGAGUUAAAUUUCUGAAGCCAGAAAGUCUGCACUCCGUACAGGCCUCAGUACACUCGGUACCCAGCAUUCCUCCUAAUAAAGGUUUGAAUGGUUUAUUAAAAAUACCACUGAUCAAGUUUUUCUAUCCAUAAUUCAGACAUGCUUUUCAACACUCUAUUGUGCUUAGGUGUUACCAGUGAUGAGAAUAACUUUAUUGUUAGUCAAUGGUCACACUGAGCAGCAAAACCAGGAAGCAUUUCCUCAAUUUCUCUUCUGAGGCAGUUAAAUAUCUCCACACAGUCUUUAAUGACAGUGUUACACUCAAAUAAAUGGCAUUUAUUCACUUCAUUAGAAUAUUUUUGUGUAUCAGAACACAGAACCAAGCUCAUAUUUGGAUUUCAUUUCAUUUCAAAAUAUUGGUCUUUCCUUUAAAAUGGAAAAUUUAUUCCUUUCCAGAAUUUGUACCCAAACAAUAAAUUGUUUUUAUCUGUUGCACAAAGUGUUACAUUACACUCUGCACUCUCAUUUUUGUGUUACUGCUCUGGGCCCUGAGUGAGUUAAAGUGCUUAAAAUUAGGCUAUUUUGUGAGGUGAGAGCCUCAGGCCUCACAGAACUACUGAGGAGACAUAUAAGGGCUGUUUCUCUUUUAAAGAAAGGUGAAUGAGUGAUGCUGAGGGUGUUUAGUGUCAUGAAAUUGCUUAGGGCUUAUUUAUUCUUGGACAGGAAAUUUUUGUGGUUAAUUUUGAAGCCUUAAAGUUAAGGAGGAAAAAGCAAUGACUUUUGUAAGGGGGAAAUGUACACAUUUAUUUUGGAUUUGAGGGUUUUUUUUCUGUUCUUAAGUCCAACAUCUGAAGCUGGAAAUGUCAAGCAGUUUGUGGAGUGGUUUAGAGUGGUUAGUGGUUCCUGUGCACUGUCAUGGCUGGUGACAGACCCAUGAUGGUGGGAGCUCUGUCCAUCAGAGGAGGUUUUCUGUAGUUGUUUACAAUGCUAAACAGGUUGGUGGCUCACCUGGUCUUAGGGGCCUCAGCAGCCUUAGGAAUUGUGAAGACUUCCUAUGUGCCAAGGGUACUAUGAUCUGUUGCCACCUCCUCUAAAUCCCUUAGUCCUGAAUUCUUAACAAACAUUUCUGGAUCAGACUAUCCUUGUUCCAGCUUUGAAACUUAUUGGUUAAGGCAAGGAAAGGGACAGAGAGGGCUAAGGCGCAGACAGUCCCCUCCAGGCAGUGACACCCCUCUUGAGUUGUCUCUUCCCUUUGGAGAUAGGGCAUGGAUGGGGCUGGUUUGUCCUGUGAAAUUUGCUUCUCCAUGAGCUUUGGAACAACACAUUCCUGGAGAGCAGUGUGCCAAUGAUUACUUUGCAAGGGAGCAAAUAGUCAUAUUUUCUCAUUUCCUUCUUUUUUGCAGUGGCAGAGUGGGAACACCCCUAAGACAUACAUGUCCAUGGCGCUUCUUACGAGUUUUAGCACUGGAGGGUGUCCGUAUUGGUGCCAGGGCUUUACCCCUCUCCUACACAUUAUCACAAGACAGCAUCUUAAGGGGCAUUUCCGCUGUCCUUGCAUUCUGCACCAGAGGGGAUUCAGUUAUGUUACAUUUCAUCCAUGAUUUGUAAUUUUUGCCUCUAUCCACUUUUUCCCUCCUCCUGAUUCGUCAUUUUAUUUUUUGUGGUCUUCUCAAAUGGUCCUUGUUUAAAUGUUGAGGCUGUUUUCAUAUUAGUGUGUUAAUAUUUUCAACAUCUGUGUAUUUUGCUGCAGAACACUCCAAAUUACCUGGCAAAAGAAACAGCAACAUUUAUAAAUAUAGCCAUUACUUAAAUUAUUCUGAUUUUUAGCUUACAACGUAUUUUUAUGUGACUCAAGAGAUUAAAACAAAAAAUAUUCCAGGCCACACUUAAUGAAAUAAGUAUUACUUUGUUUAACUAAAUUAUCAGCAAGAAAGUCUGGUCUUGGCUCCCUUCAAGCUGACUUUUAUAUUUAUCAUCAGAGACUUCCAAAAUUUCAGCCUACUUUUUUUUCAGGUAAUGACACUGCAAUAUCCUGGCUUUCAGACUACACAAGAAUGUAGUAAGACAUUGGUUUUCCCUUUUGAACUUAGGUGAUUUUAAUUACAGGAGGUUUUACAGAGAAGAUAGCUUCUUUAUGAUUUGGAUCCAGAUUGCUGAUUGUAUAAAAUACUUCUAUACUUCUGUAAAAUACUUCCCUUUCCCUAAAUCCUUUUCCUAGUGUAGCUUUCACCUCUCAGCUCAGGCUGUUCUGGUGCAGCAAACACUCUCUUCGAUGAUGUGCUGCCAGUGCAUUUCCCUUCUAUCCAAAAUACGCUGGAUCCAGCCCUAUAUUUGCAAUGGAGUUCAAGGAGUGAAGAAAUAAUCAAGCUUCUAAAUUUCUGAGUUUAUAAUGGAACAAAAGUAUUUUCAGAUUCUUAUUCUAGUUCUUUUGUUAGUGCUGGAAAAAUGUGCAAUGAUACAGCAGGAAGUGUCAUGUACCCAUGCAACUCAUUUUAGCAGUACAGAUUCUCAGAGCAGCCAUGCACUUUAAUAGAGAAAUAAUGGGGAAAAGGAAAUAGCAUUCAAUUAAGAGUAGCUCAUUCAUGUUAUGCCAAUUUUGCAAUGAAUUUUGUGUUGUGUAUCCAUAGAUUUAUGUUCCUAAAAGCCCAAUGUUAUGUUAUAUAUGAGAACUACAUUUUUGUUUGGGUCUUAGCGCAAGCCACGUAACACUCAAGUGAAGAAAUGUUUUCAGUUCACCUGUUGCUCUCAUAUUCUGUUGGAUUUUUUUGUCCAUAAGGGAGUAAAAAGGCUAUUGCAAUGAUGGUGUCAAAAAACAAAAGAGAACAAAUUUAACAGAAACAUCUGAGUUAAUGUUGUUAUGCUGCUGUGUGCCUCUGAAUCCCUGACUGCAAUAGGAGUAUUCUGCUGGAGUCCCAGGUUGCCACUGGCACAUGCUUUCUAUAUCAUUCUCUUUUUCAUUCUUUGUCAUCGAUUUUUCCAUGCCUAGUAGAAAAUAAUAGACAUUUCUUUGGCACCACAUCUAGCUGUAUCUUUUAAAGGACUUGGUACAUGCAAACUCACUCUUCUACUUAUUGCCUGAGCCUUUCCCAUUUGGACUUAGAGCUAUUUCUCAGAAAAGGCUUUUACAGUUUCGAAAACUCUCUUUUGUGCUUUCCAUUCAGGUUUUCUUCUAUAGACUUGACUUUCUAAGAGACCAAUUAUUAGCAUUCUUUAAAAAAUAUUCUUGUGAAUGAGAGAAUGAUAAGAAUGCUAUUAAAAUCUCCUAAGGUGAGAAAAAUGUGGCCCCCACUGAAAACUGUAUUACAUAGCACCUGUAGGAGAAAAGGUGGAAAUUUUGGUAGUUUCCCACAUGAUCUCACUGAACUACAGUUUUGGAGGUAGAAGAGUAUUGAAUUUUAUGUUAAAUGUUGUCCAUAGCCUAUUUUUUUUUCUACACUUGGGCAUAUUUUUCUAAGAAAGAUAUUUGUUCCUUAGACCUUUUGCAGUGAUUUGUGAGAGAUAUUUCAGAAAGGAAAGAUGAGUUGAUGGCAGUUAGACUUUUUCUUUUGGCACUAUUCUAUGAAAAGCCACAAUGCUUAGAGUGACCUCAAUGUUGGCUGUUCUCAUAUACCUGACACAAUUUUCUGCUCAGUGAGUGAGACUUGACCACAUCUGCAACUUCCUUAACAGCAGGUUACAAAUAAAGUAAGUUAUUGAACUGAAACUAGAGCUGGGAUUGUUCUGCAAACACCCUGGGAAGCUAUAGGUGCUGGUAAGCCAACUGGGAACAUUAUCAGGGACAGAAUGCUACUUUAGCUCCAACCCCAUGAAUUAUUUUAUGGUGGCAGGAGGUCUCUGGGAGUGUUUAUGUUUGCUGCCUGAUGUCCCUGUGUUUCAUUUUUUAUUAAGUGUGAUAGAUAGUGUGUUUUUACCUAGCAGCACUUGCAGGACAGCUUCCCUUUAGAUAAGGAAUUAGUAAGCCAGAGAGCAGUGGCCAUCCUUUGUGAGCUGCAGGAAGGAGGGCUUGGGGUGAAAGACUCCACCAUGUAUUUUCAAGGACUAGAAUUAGUUGAUACAAGAGAAAAUAAAUAAUUUGGACAAAAGAGCAGGGUUCUAUAGUCUAUUGGUAACAUAUGAGCACUCAGAUUUGAAAAUGUUCCUGUGCCCAGACUGUUAAGUCUUUUACCAGUGUGAGCUAUGGCUGUGUGCCCUAUCAGCCCUCUUCUUCCUGUCACAGAGAAUGUUUAUUAUAGGAAGGAAAACUGAAGUCUAUAUCGGAGCACCCAGCCAAUUCCACUGUCAGGAUCCAUAUCCUCCACACAUCCAUCUCUCUUGGUCUGUCUUUGGCUCCUACUGUAGGUACUAAACCCAAGCUCCUCUCAUACAGCCCUUAGGCUUCUUAUGUCAAAGAACCUUUCACAAAUUUGGCAGUGCUUUAGCCCAGGCAGGAGCAAGGUCUGUCUGAGAAGCCUUGUGCUCCUAGUAGCCCAUGGUCUUGUUCCCCAGCUUCCCACAGGUCAUAAUGCUGUCAUGAAGGGCUAUGGUUCUUUUUACAGACCUGUCUAAAUCACCUGUAAAGCUGUCUACCAAAUAUUAAAAAAAAAUUAAGUAGUAGAAAGAAUCACUGAUUUUUGAAGAAAAAAAAAUGAAAUCUGCAACAUGAAUAUGCGCCACUAAAUGUACAGUCUCUGCAGUUGUGCAUUGUAGUAAAAAAAUAGAAUGGAAAGUUCUGAAUUUUUUUUUCAAGAGAAAUAUCUAAUAAAGAGCUCACUAUGGAAACAGCAUGUAAUAAUUAUAUGACUGAAAUAUAUUAGAUAAGCAAUAAGGACUCAGAAAAAAUUUUAACUACAUAGGAAAUUACAGCUUCUCUUUUACAGUCACUCUAUGUGCUGAAAAGUCAUAGCUUAUUCUGUAAGAUGUGAGUCAAGAAAUGACAGGAUUUAAAAUAGCUUUUUAAUUAAUGUUUUUAUUUAAAUACAGAAUAACAUUAACAUUGAAUUUUUUACGUUUACAGUGAUGCUAUUAUGACUGGGAGAUGUUAAAUUUAACACAGACAAACCACAUCCUGCAGAGAUGGUAUUUCAUUUUAUGACAUUCACCUGAUAGCUUGCAAUCCUCAGUGUGGAGUUCUUUCAGCACUAUUAAAAUGCCAGCUCCUGAAACUGAGUGGCCAAAAACCCCACACAAAAUCACACCCAUGAUCUCUCACAGCUCAUUUCUCACUCUCUUACUGUAAGCCCUCAGGGUUUGAAAAUGAAACAACUUUCAAGCCUUAAAAGUGAAAUUCACUUCACCUGCAUGAAAUCAUAGUAAUCAAAUUUUUAUGGGUAGAGAAUGGCAGGGGAGAGGGGAGGAAAAAUUUACACUACAGAAGUGUGGGGUCAAGUCAGGAGGUCCUAAAAAGUCCUCCCUUCUUUCUUCUCUUGCAGCUGCUCCUUUUUCUGGCAUAUUGACAAUAUCAGCAGCUGCAAUUCUUCACAUGCACAAAUAGCUGCAGACUGCCUAAACCAGAAGCUCUUUCUCCAGCCCACUGCAGCCUCUGUCUCUUUCCUGUCCCCUUUGGUUCCCAUCUAUUCAUCUUUAUCUCGAGACUUGUUUGGUGUUAGCUGCCUGAUCAUUUGAACCAUUUUGGUUCAAUACAGAGUUUCUGAAGGCAGGAAGAGCUUUUCCGAUUAAUUAGAGAUUUAAACUCAAUGUGGGUCCCUGAUAACAAGCAGAAUGAGAUCAAGUGGCAAGGUGACUGUAACUGGAAAAUCUGUGACUGGUGCUUGACAAAAUUGUUGAGGUUCACCAGCAGUGGUAAAGGCAAACCCAGAUUAUCUAAAUUUAAAUCUAAACUACUUCAAUACAGUGCAUUAAUGCAGAUCUCCUGCAGCAGUAGCAUGAAAACUGGACAUUUAGAGGAUGUAUGCCAGAGGUGCUAUCAGAAAUUAACUCAAAUAAGUAGAGGUUGGUCUAUGGAUAUAAAAAUGCAAUGUCCUUAUAGAAGGUAUCAUUAGAUGAAAUUGACUGUUGCCAUCACAAUACUUGACAAGGGUCAAGUAUUGCAAAUACUGUAACUAACAUACAGAGAUACUUUUUAUCCAUCUGCAAAUACAUAACUUUCAAAUAAGUACAAAGUCUGAGAGUUGUCAGAGCUAUAAAUGCUACAGAAUAGAAAUGCUACAGAAUAAAAAUUGCAGCAAAACUAAACAAGAAGCUAAAUUAUAUGUGCAUUAAUCUGAUUUUAGAAUAUUCCCUAGAUGAUAGAGUGUUAGAUAAGAUUUACAAAGGCUGAAAAUGAUCCCGAAAUUGCAUAGAAAUAAAUUUCAACUAUUAGGAUGGGAAGGAUUGUACUGGAUUAUCAUUCUGGUUUAUUGGGGUUGUAGUUCCUGAAUUGUUGUAGAAAACUUUUCUAUGAAGAAUAUAUGAAUGUAAUCAGCUAGAAGUAUAAACAAGCUGUAAGUAUUGUUUUAUAAUAGCAGAUGAACAGUGAUAUUAGGGAAGCACUGUUAAGAAUAUACCAAAAUUCAGGCCAAAUGAAGCAACAACUUCCAUGAUGUGAUACAGGAAAAUUGCCCUCUGGGAACAAAGUAGCUGUAGAUUUGUGUAUGUUGGCUGGAAAAAAAGGCUCUUCAACAUUUCCUAGACUAUUAUUCUUACCUCUCUGAGGUGGCCUUGUUUAAAGAAGCUAUAGGUGAUUGUGUAUACCCAGUUUGAUUUUGCUACAUAUUUACUUGAACACAGCUGUAGGGCACAGGAGUCCCCUACAUUUCAAGUGCUUUAUAAAGAAACAGACUUUUAAAUGCAUCUUGUUAUUUACAUAUGAUAAGUUUUGGGAGACAUGAUGUCUGAAUUAUAAAAUAUCCGUGGAAACAGUUGUUGAGUCAUACACUGAUCACUGUUUAGCCCUUUGAAGAUAGAAAAACAUGACAGACAGUUCUGUGAGUGCUGUCAUGGGACAGUGGUUUCCUUCUAAUCACUAACAUUACUUUUUAGGUGUUUUGGUCUAGACAAUGCACUUGCCAGGCCAGGAACUGGUGUUUCUGGUGUUCCUUCUAGUUGUGCAAGGAGGUCAGGGAUGAAGGAUGAGGAAGACAGUAUCAUCCCUAAAGCCACAGAAAUACACACCCUGGCAUUGUCUGUGGUAAAAACUGAGAAUUUGACACGGUGGUGUUUCCAGAUCUGUGCUUUGUUUGUGUACACUCAUGCUGACUUUUAACUGAUAUCCUGAGAAAACUACCAAUGAAACUAUUGUUUUCAAGUCUCAACCAAAUGUUUGGUUUAGAUUUUAGAAUUCAGAAUUUACUUUUUUUUUCCAUGUUUUUUUUCCUUCUGUCAUUUUUAAUGAACACUUAGGCCAUUUGACAAAAUCCCUGGUGCCCAAGUUUCAGUUUCACACAGGGUUAGCCACUAACUUGGACACUUAAAUGACUUGCCAUAAUUUGGAGACAUGUUGGUGUGUUUUGAGUAACUAAAGAUUACAUUACAGUAUUCUGCAACUGAUGGUGUUUAUCAUCAAGUUACAGAUAUAAGUAAGAAAAAGUUUGUAGAGAGGAAUUAACUCAAACAUUUUGCACCUAAAUUUCACAAGCAACAUAGAAAUAUCUGUGAAGAUAAAGAAGAGGUUCCAAAUAAUUUCUGAAAAUAGCUUUAAUGCUAAAAUGUCAAUAAGUCAAUAUUUUUAUUGUAUGUUAUCAGUAAGCUUUAAACUAUAAGUUUUCCUACCUGCAAGCUAUGAAAAAAGUGACUAUACAAAACCAGGGUACUGCUGCCUAUUCCAGAAUCUUCAGCACCAAGUACUCAGUCAUGGACCAAAGACUACAAAACUACCAAAGCAGUUAUACAUUUCUUAGUUCUUCCCUGACUACAGUGUUACAGACAGAGUGCAAGGGACCUUCCUCAUUGUUGUGCUGUUCUCAUCACCUGUACCUUAUUAGGGGAAAAAGAUUCCAGCACUAGAUGCCAAUAUAUAGAAAUAAACUUAUCUGUGAAGAUAAAAAAGAGGUUCCAAAUAAUUUAGGAAGUAUUUCCUGCUCUACUUUCUCUGAUACAGCCUGUGUUUCAGAAAGAGUCCUGUAGAAACUUCAACAUCUAGCCUCCAACCUAGCUGGACCCAGUUCAUGGUCAGUCAGUAUAUUAAUUCUUAGAUCUUUUCACAGGUGAAAUUUUGGCUGGUUGGGUUUUUAGAUACUGGAGAGUGAGCUGUUUUUUCUGCUUUUUAUUACAUUCCCAUCUUAAAUCCACCGUUGGAUUCCUAAUAACUUGUCUUCUGCUUUGUCUUGCUACAUAUUUAGGAAAUAAAGAGAAAGGUGUUAUAACACUUUGGUCCCAAAUCUGGUGGUCUCGUUUUCAGGAACCUUCACCAGAACAUACCCACUCUGGUGGCUGCUCUUACCUCCGGAGAAUGGCAGUAUGCCAACUAUCACACGCUGUUUUUCACUGCAGAACCUUAUUGAAGGUUUUAAACCCUGGGCAGGUUGCCUGCAUGGCCCUGCAUGGUUUUCCUUGGCCCACUUGGCAUCCUUUACCCCAGACAGCAUCUUGUGUGCACCACAUGUGGGUUAUAGUGCAGAGCAUGGAUGCUGGUGCAUCUCUACCUUGGCACUCCGAAGGGGUGAGGCAGGCGCCUUGGCAGCACCGCUCUGCAUCUGUCCAUGGGGCACUCAGGGCUCCAUCGUUUCCCAGCAGGUCUGUCAGCUUGGAUCAUGGGCUAUCCUGACUGCUCAGGGCUCUCUUCAAAACAAACUCUGUAUGGGGGUGUCUGAAUGCCUUAGAAUAGCUCAUUUGUUUUUCAGGAACAACUUUUUUUCCCCUAACUGUGUUUUUGCAAGAUUAAAUAAGUGUGAAAUGGGCAUUUAUGUGAUCCCUGUCUAUAAAAGAUGUUAUCUGCCUGCUGAGCUUUCCUCCCCUGUUUGCUAAUGGGAGUCAAGUCCUUCAAUUCAUAGCGCUAAAUUUACUGUAAUUAAUUAUAUCUCUGUUCCAGUGCUGUCCUCAUAAUGGGUAAUAAUUGUUUGCUCUACAUAAACAGAUGUUCUUUCUGUACUGUCCCAGGCAUGCUUAGCCUGGGAUACAAAUAAGCUCACAGAGGUGACUGAAGAAUGCAGAUUAAGUUUUAUAUUGCAGCAAGGAAUCAGAUCAGUACCUGUUAUUUAAUUUUUUUUAGAAACUUUAUUAUUUUUGUAUGGUUUUCACAGACUAAGGAACACAAAUUGCAACAGAAGACAAUUUCACACAACAUAUUGCCGUAUGAAGUGUUCAAUGCCUAUAUUCAAUAGAUACUGUAAAAGAAAGCUUUACAAAACUAUUGCUAUUAGAGGUGUCCAUGUGAAGGAUAAUGGUGGGUGACUUUGUUCCCUGCUUUGUUUUGCAGGGGGAUGGGUGGGAACUGAAUUUGUGUACCACUAAAACUUGUAGGUUCAAUAUCUAGAUAUCUAGGUGUUUAGGACAAUUGCAAAAUCUCUACCUAAACCCUGUUUCUUAGGCUACUAUAACAGUAUAAUAAUUAUACUGUGACUAUAAUUAUAAGUAUAAUCACCUGUUACUGUUAAAGAAACAUACCAGCAUGGCAUGCUCCAAAGCUUAUGGAUGACAGUCUCCAGUCUCCUUUUAACUCCCUGAAAGGCAAAUGAAACCCUCCCUGGAGUCAUGUAGAGCUACUGAUCUCUCUUGGCCAGAGCAAGCCAUGGCUACACCCAUGAUUUGAGCUGUGUAGGGUGAACAGGCUGAUACAGACCAGACUUUGUAAUACACAUUCACGUGUGAAGAUAGUGCAUUGUACUUUUUAUUGCACGUGUAACUUACUUUGUGGUGAGCAGGCCCAGUUAAGAGUAAAGAUCUCCAGAUGCUUUUCCUACCUCAGUUCCCAGUCUGGUAGAUCAGCUUAUAUGUCAGUCAGCUUGUUUCUUUGAUUGUAGAUCAGAGGCCUCAAACCUGACUUCUGGGCAACUGCUGGUAAAAAGUGCUGCACAGAACUAGGUGCUCAUCUAAUUAACAUGGACUAUGACACCUGACUUCAUGAAAUCUACUGGUGAAAAGUCGUAUGCAAAAUUAGGUACUUAUAUAAUUAAUAUUGCUCUUCAUUUUGUACAAAUAAACAUAACUGUUUGUAUUCUAUAUCUUUCAUUGAUUCUCAAUGGUGAAACUUCAGUGUUGUAAACAAAACACUGUAAAUAGAUUCAAAGUUGGUUUCUUUGUCCCUUAACAUGAACUGUAUUUGGUUAAAUGGAAGGAUUUCUGGACUGAAACUUGUGUACUAAAGGUAAGUCUGGAAAACAGUUGUAAAUAUUUUACAACUGAGUUAUGAAUUCUUGAAAAUAUGAUUUUUCCCUGAAGUUUGGCAGGAGACCAUACCCUCCUACUAAUCUGGCUUGCAGGUGAUGCUGGCUUUAUUAAGCUCAAACACUGUAUUUUUUUAAAUUUUUGAGUGGUGUAAUCCUGUAUCUGUAGCUAUAGUUCUUGAGAUUUGGUUAUUCACAGAGACUUCUUUUUCAGUUUUGAAAAUGCAACUUUCAUUUUUAAAACAUGCUAAAAGUAGAAUUUCAAUGUUGCAUUUAGGGAGAAAAUACCAUCUUAAAGGAGAUAUAAAAGAAUUACAAGUAGAAAUUGGUUAGCCUCUCAGGGGAUGUUUCAGCAGGCUUGCUAAGUAUUUUUCUACAUAAAAGACUCUACUGUGGCAUCUUUUCUCUUCUGGUGUUUUGGAGAGACUGGGCAUAAGACUGCUGCAUUAUGGAAAAUGAACACUUUGGAUAUGUUGUUGUCCAACAUUUGAUCAAAUUUUCAACCUGUCUAUAUGGACAUAACCUACAUUUUUUCAGAUACACAUUUUCCUGUUGGUGAACAGUCCUUAGCAAGAACUAAAUAACAAAACUCCUCCUCUGGGAAGCAUGUAAUCUGUGGAGGGCUUCAUUUGGGAGAUGCUUGGAUUAAAAAUGUGCUUAAGUGAUGUAGGCACCCAGGAACCAGGUGACAAAAAAAUUACAGUGAAGUAGGGAGGG